UCAACCCUCAAGCCCGGCUUGCUGUUGGAUCUCACCGUUGAGUCUUCAGCGGUGGACCCCAAAGAUAAUGGCAGAGUCCGUGGGACCCUGGAUGCAGCGAGCUUCUAGCACGCGUCUGGAUGGUCUUUUGGCUCGGUCUGAACCAAUUAAUUUAUUCU
RNAcentral lists this unclassified non-coding RNA (158 nucleotides) under uncultured Verrucariaceae. Its description in RNAcentral is "sequence contains ITS2". The record is from RNAcentral. Lineage: Eukaryota; Fungi; Ascomycota; Eurotiomycetes; Verrucariales.